AGAGAUCUCCUGAAUAUGGCAUU
Molecule: non-coding RNA, 23 nt
Filed under: Cricetulus griseus (Chinese hamster)
Lineage: Eukaryota; Metazoa; Chordata; Mammalia; Rodentia; Cricetidae
Source: RNAcentral